Molecule: ribosomal RNA, 548 nt
Filed under: Shigella sonnei
Lineage: Bacteria; Pseudomonadati; Pseudomonadota; Gammaproteobacteria; Enterobacterales; Enterobacteriaceae
Description: partial 23S ribosomal RNA
Rfam family: Bacterial large subunit ribosomal RNA
Source: RNAcentral
ACAGCCCCGUACACAAAAAUGCACAUAUUGUGAGCUUGAUGAGUAGGGCGGGACACGUGGUAUCCUGUCUGAAUAUGGGGGGACCAUCCUCCAAGGCUAAAUACUCCUGACUGACCGAUAGUGAACCAGUACCGUGAGGGAAAGGCGAAAAGAACCCCGGCGAGGGGAGUGAAAAAGAACCUGAAACCGUGUACGUACAAGCAGUGGGAGCACGCUUAGGCGUGUGACUGCGUACCUUUUGUAUAAUGGGUCAGCGACUUAUAUUCUGUAGCAAGGUUAACCGAAUAGGGGAGCCGAAGGGAAACCGAGUCUUAACUGGGCGUUAAGUUGCAGGGUAUAGACCCGAAACCCGGUGAUCUAGCCAUGGGCAGGUUGAAGGUUGGGUAACACUAACUGGAGGACCGAACCGACUAAUGUUGAAAAAUUAGCGGAUGACUUGUGGCUGGGGGUGAAAGGCCAAUCAAACCGGGAGAUAGCUGGUUCUCCCCGAAAGCUAUUUAGGUAGCGCCUCGUGAAUUCAUCUCCGGGGGUAGAGCACUGUUUCGGCA